AACCCCCAUUCUUUUUCUCCUUUUCCAAACCCUAAAACUUCCCCCCUGAAGCUGCUGAUUCUCCUUCCCCUAGCAGCCAACAGAUUUAGGCUGGGGAGAACGCUUUUCAGCCCUCCGAUUUCCUCUUGACUUCGAUUUCGACUAAGUAAGAGGAGAUCCAUGGCGUAUUCUCCAGGUAAACUCCCAUUUUCCUUCUUUAAUCAAACUUUCGAAUAAAGAAAAAGAUCAACAAAACAAAAAGAAAAAGGAUCCAGUCAAAAGGGAACGCCUAGAGAUUUGAGUCAGGAAAUCACCUUUAGAAAAAUGGUUGCUUUGUAGUGCUUGAAUUUUUGUAUUUUUUUUGUUGCGUAUUUGCGCGUAAAAAAAAUUACAAUGAGCAGAGGCUUUGGCUUUAUAGCCGAAACAGAUAUAAGAAAUACUCAAAAAUAAAAAUCGAAUACAAAUCCCCAUUUUGCUGUUGUCUUUUUUGUAUGUAUUUGCUGCUGUGGUUUGUUCUCUUUCGCAGGUACGGGUGCUGUGCUGGCGUACGGAGGCUUGGCGUGGUUGUUGUAGGCGUUGUACGGAGCGUACGGUGCUGGGGGAGGGCUUCUGCGGCGCGAGUGUAAGAAAGAAACCCUAGGGUUUCUGUUCUAAAAUUCCUGGGCCAUUUGGGCCAAUGUAAUUUUGGGUCUUGGGUUAAAUUGGGGAUUGGGUAUUGGUUUAUUGUUUUAAUUUGGGUCAAAGCCUGAAAUAGACUGUUAUAAGAUUUAAGUUUUGGUCUUGUAACUAGUUUGGGCUUUGAUUGGUUAUUAGCCCGUGGACUAUUGUAAUUAUUUGGACUUUGGACUGUUAAUAUUUAUAUUUAAUUAUUAUUUAUUUAUUUUUGGGUUUCAAGGGGGCCGGGCAAAUUGGCCUAUUUACAUUACUUAUAUAUUAUUUCACAAUUAUCACGAUUAAUGACAUUCAUAUACCAUAAUAUACUAUGACAUGUAUGAAAUUUACCUACCAAAAUAGUGAAUUUAGCCAUAUGAACUUACCUAGGCUAAUUUGCAAAAAGUCGUAGAAAUUUAGGGACUAUUCUUGCAAUUUCUCCUUUCCACGAUUCACUUUAUUUUCUUAAUCUAUAAUUAUAAAAUCAUUUCUUUAUUAGCAUCUAUUUCAAUUCUAUUCUACUUCACAAUUUAUGCCUUUUAAUUUUUAAAUUACACUAUUACCCUAAACUUUUCAAUUUUUACAAUUUAGUCUCUACUCAAUUUAUUCAUAAAUUAAGUUAGUUAUUCUCAAAUAACAUUUUAACAAGAUAUUAUAAACUACUUCAAAGAAUUUAACAUUCAAAAUUUCAACACAAAACCCUAAUUCCAACAACUUUCACAAUUAGAUCCUAAAAAUCAAUUCUUAUAAAAUCUCUUCAUAAAAUCAUCAUAUAAUAAACUUAGAACCCCAAUUACAUACUAAAUCAUCAUAAAAUUUC
RNAcentral lists this long non-coding RNA (1450 nucleotides) under Gossypium barbadense (sea-island cotton). Its description in RNAcentral is "long non-coding RNA (GBAR_LNC004707)". Lineage: Eukaryota; Viridiplantae; Streptophyta; Magnoliopsida; Malvales; Malvaceae. The record is from RNAcentral.